GGGUCCGUAAGUACCCAGUGGCAGACGGGUGAGUAACGCGUAGGAAUCUACCCCUAGGUAAAGCAUAGCCGGCCGAAAGGUCGGGUAAUACUGUAUGGUCUCGCAAGAGUAAAGGACUUAACGGUCCGCCAAGGGAGGAGCCUGCGUCCUAUCAGCUUGUUGGCGGGGUAAAUGCCCACCAAGGCGAUGACGGGUAGCUGGACUGAGAGGUCGAUCAGCCACAACUGCACUGAGACACGGGCAGUACAUCUACGGAUGGCAGCAACCAGGAAUAUUGCGCAAUGGACGAAAGUCUGACGCAGCGACGCCGCGUGGAGGAAGACGGCCUUCGGGUUGUAAACUCCUUUUGCCAAGCCGUUCACAGCUUGGCGAAUAAGCCUCUACUAACUACGUGCCAGAAGUCUCGGUAAUACGUAGGAGGCAAGCGUUAUCCGGAUUCACUGGGCGUAAAGUGUGCGUAGGCGUUCUAUAAAGUCUUCACUUAAAGACCAAGGCUUACCCUUGGGACUGGUGAGGAUACUCAUAGAAUGGAGGAUUGAUUGGGGUACUGGAACAGUUAGUGUAGCAGUGAAAUGCGUUGAUAUUAACUGGAACACUAAGGGCGAAGGCAAGUACCUGAAUUUUUCCUGACGCUGAGGCACGAAAGCUAGGGUAGCGAAACAGAUUAGAUACCUGUGUAGUCCUAGCCGUAAACGAUGUCCGCUAACUAUCUCUGAUUUAUCGGAGGUGGUUCAAGCUAACGCAUUAAGCGGACCGCCUGGGGAGUACGACCGCAAGGUUAAAACUCAAAGGAAUUGACGGGGACCCGCACAACUGGUGGAGCGUGUGGUUUAAUUCGAGACGAAGCGAAACACCUUACCAGGGCUUGACAUGCUAUCGUUUUAUACCUUUGGAAACAUUGGUAGAUCCGCAAGGAUGAUAGCACAGGUGAUGCAUGGCUGUCGUCAGCUCGUGCCGUGAGGUGUUCCCUUAAGUGGGGAAACGAGCGCAACCCGCACCUAAUGUUAAAUAUUCAUUAGGAACAGCCCCUCACUCAAGCACAGAAUGCUUGAGAAAUUCUAAAUACUAAUAUCUAAAUUCUAAACUGUUUGAAUUUUUAUUUUUGAAAUUGUUUAGGAUUUAGGAUUUUGAAAUUAGAAUUUACUCAAAAAUAUUCUAUUUUUGAGUGAGGGGAGGAAGGAGCGGAAGACGUCAAGUCAGCACGUCCCUUAUGCCCUGGGUUACACACACCCUACAAUGGCGAAUAACAAUGGGCUGCAAGCCGGUAACGGCAAGCGAAUCCCACAA
Molecule: ribosomal RNA, 1287 nt
Filed under: uncultured bacterium
Lineage: Bacteria
Description: bacterial SSU rRNA
Rfam family: Bacterial small subunit ribosomal RNA
Source: RNAcentral